Molecule: ribosomal RNA, 458 nt
Filed under: uncultured bacterium
Lineage: Bacteria
Description: partial 16S ribosomal RNA
Rfam family: Bacterial small subunit ribosomal RNA
Source: RNAcentral
CCUACGGGUGGCAGCAGUGGGGAAUAUUGCACAAUGGGGGAAACCCUGAUGCAGCGACGCCGCGUGAGUGAAGAAGUAUUUCUGUAUGUAAAGCUCUAUCAGCAGGGAAGAAAUCGCUACCUUUGGGUCGCCCGCCGGUACCUGAUUCAGACGCCCCGGCUAACUACUUGCCAGCAGCCGCGGGAAUACGUAGGGGGCAAGCGUUAUCCGGAUUUACUGGGUGUAAAGGGAGCGUAUACGGCAGCGCAAGUCUGAAGGGAAAUGCCGGGGCUUAACCCCGGAACUGCUUUGGAAACUGUGCAGCUAGAGUGCAGGAGAGGGAAGUGGAAUUCCUAGUGUAGCGGGGAAAUGCGUAGAUAUUAGGAGGAACACCAGUGGCGAAGGCGGCUUACUGGACUGUAACUGACGUUGAGGCUCGAAAGCGUGGGGAGCAAACAGGAUUAGAUACCCCUGUAGUC